RNAcentral lists this unclassified non-coding RNA (1636 nucleotides) under Nilaparvata lugens (brown planthopper). RNAcentral's name for it is "extended synaptotagmin-2-A, transcript variant X1". The record is from RNAcentral. Lineage: Eukaryota; Metazoa; Arthropoda; Insecta; Hemiptera; Delphacidae.
GCAUGUGUUUGCCCGUUGCCGAACGCAAUUGCAAUUUAAAAAUAUCUGAAACUUUUCUCAAUAGAGCAGAAGAGUGUCUUUGAAGGUUUAAUUUUCGAGUGUUGGUGAAUAUCUAAGCAGUAUAGUCGACAAUUACUUAUUUAUUUUAAAGUUACUGUAGCCUACUGAAAUCAACUUCUGUAGGACACAUUUGCAAAUUUCGGGUGUGCCAGAAACAGUUUCAACAUUUAGACUACUUCAUCAAUAUCUUACUGCAUUAUGGAGUUGGAAAAGAAAAAUCCAAUUACAAUUCCUCCUACAAGACAAGUUGGUUCAUCUUCGGGCAUCUUCAAAAUAGUUUAUGAUGCUGCUAAAAGUGUUUGCACUGUUGCAAUUAUAUAUUUUUUCGGCUACAUGAAUUUCAGCCCAGCUUGGUUUCUUGCUCCGCUUAUUUAUUCUGUUAUCAAAAAUGAAACGAAAAAGACCAACGAAUUCAAGAGAAAUGUUGCCAAAACCUCAGCAUUGCAAAAUGAAAAGGAUGUAAUUCUAGCAAGAAUUGAUGAAUUACCUGCCUGGGUCUACUUCCCUGAUGUUGAAAGGGCUGAAUGGUUAAACAAGAUUCUUCGACAAGUUUGGCCAAACGUCAACCAUUAUGCAAAAGAUGUAAUCAAAGAUAUAAUUGAGCCUAACAUUUGUCUUGCACUUGCUGAGUACAAAAUAAGUGGCUUCGCAUUUCAAAAGAUGAGACUUGGUACAAUUCCGCCUCGUAUAGGAGGAAUCAAAGUAUACGACUACAAUGUGUCAAGGAAUGAAAUUAUCAUGGACUUGGAUAUUUUCUAUGCUGGAGACUGUGACAUUUCUUUCACAAUUAAAGGGUUCACAGGAGGCAUCCAAGAUUUUCAGAUCCAUGGGCUUGUCAGAAUUGUUAUGAAGCCUCUCAUUAAAUCAAUGCCACUAGUUGGCGGUCUUCAAAUUUAUUUUCUGAAUAAUCCUGCUAUUGACUUCAACCUUGUUGGAGUUGCUGAUGUUCUAGAUAUGCCUGGGCUGAGUGAUUUACUGCGCCGUGUGAUUGUUGAGCAAGUGGCAGCCAUGAUGGUUCUUCCCAACAAGCUUCCUAUCCUUCUCAGUAAUGAAGUUCCCGCAAAGAAUCUCAAAUUUCCAGAACCACAGGGAGUUUUACGUGUUCACGUUGUUGAAGCCAAACAUCUAAUGAAGAAAGACAUUGGAGUUUUAGGUAAAGGUAAAUCCGACCCUUACGCUAUCAUUACUGUGGGCGCCCAACAAUUCAAAACAAAAACAAUCGACAAUACAAUUGACCCAAAAUGGGACUUCUGGUGCGAGGCCGAGGUGACAGCCCCAAAGGUGCAGGAAGUGCAGUUUGAAGUCUGGGAUUGGGAUCCGGUUUUUUCUGGUGUUGUCAAUCAUGACUUUCUAGGCAGUUCACGGUGGAGGAGUUGAUUAGCCAGUUCCUUCUAUUGCGGCUUUUUGACAAAGACAAUGCUGCUACUGAUGAUAGCCUAGGAAGAGCAACAAUCGAAGUGAAUACUGUCACAAAGAAAGGCCAAACCGACACUUGGAUUUCGUUGGAGGAGGCUAAAACAGGAAUGGUCCAUGUUCGUAUGACUUGGCUGGAGUUGAGUGAUAAAUUCUCCGAUUU